This 1365-nucleotide ribosomal RNA is filed under the name metagenome. Its description in RNAcentral is "SSU rRNA". It matches the Rfam family "Eukaryotic small subunit ribosomal RNA", at positions 6 to 1428 of the family's 1831-position model. The record is from RNAcentral.
GGUUGAUCCUGCCAGUAGUCAUAUGCUUGUCUCAAAGAUUAAGCCAUGCAUGUCUAAGUAUAAAUAGUAUACAGUGAAACUGCGAAUGGCUCAUUAAAACAGUUAUAGUUUAUUUGAUAAUUGACAAUUACAUGGAUAACCGUGGUAAUUCUAGAGCUAAUACAUGCUUAAACGCCCGACUUUAUGGAAGGGUGGUAUUUAUUAGACUGAAGCCAAUAUUCCUUGUGUCUAUUGCGGUGAUUCAUAAUAACUGAUCGAAUCUCUUUUUGAGAUAAAUCAUUCAAGUUUCUGCCCUAUCAGCUUUCGAUGGUAGUGUAUUGGACUACCAUGGCAGUAACGGGUAACGAAGAAUUAGGGUUCGAUUUCGGAGAGGGAGCAUGAGAAACGGCUACCACAUCUAAGGAAGGCAGCAGGCGCGUAAAUUACCCAAUCCUGACUCAGGGAGGUAGUGACAAGAAAUAGCAAACCGGGAACCUCAUGGUUUCACGGUAUUGCAAUGAGAACAAUUUAAAACCCUUAGCGAGAAUCAAGUGGAGGACAAGUCUGGUGCCAGCACCCGCGGUAAUUCCAGCUCCACUAGCGUAUAUUAAAGUUGUUGCAGUUAAAAAGCUCGUAGUUGAACCUCUGUCUGGGGCUAGUUUUGGCUUUGGUCAGGCUAGUUCUAGGCAUCCGCCUACAAGACUUAGAGGGCAUUCAGUUGUUCACUAGGAGGAGUAGGCAUUUUACUUUGAAAAAAUUAGAGUGUUUAAGGCAGGCAAUCGCCCGCAUAUAUUAGCAUGGAAUAAUAGAAUAGGACACUUUUCCAUUUCGUUGGUUAUUGGAAUCGUGUAAUGAUUAAUAGGGACAGUUGUGGGCAUUUGUAUUUAAUUGUCAGAGGUGAAAUUCUUGGAUUUAUUAAAGACAAACUAACGCGAAAGCAUUUGCCAAGGAUGUUUUCAUUAAUCAAGAACGAAAGUUAGGGGAUCAAAGACGAUCAGAUACCGUCCUAGUCUUAACUAUAAACUAUUCCGACUCAAUGUUUGACUGGCUUAUAUAACCAGUUGAGCGUUGUAUGAGAAAUCAAAGUCUUUAGGUUCUGGGGGGAGUAUGGUUGCAAAGCUGAAACUUAAAGGAAUUGACGGAAGAGCACAACCAGGAGUGGAUUCUGCGGCUUAAUUUGACUCAACACGGGGAAACUUACCAGGUUAAAACAAUAGUGGGAUGACAGUUUGAGAGCGCUUUCUUGAUUGGUUGGGUGGUGGUGCAUGGCCGUUCUUAGUUGGUGGAGUGAUAUGUCUGCUUAAUUGCGUUAACGAACGAGACCUUAACCUGCUUACUAGACUGGCGAUCAUCAAUCGUUAGCUCUUCUUAGAGGGACUUUGGUUG